Molecule: ribosomal RNA, 256 nt
Filed under: Thermoflavimicrobium daqui
Lineage: Bacteria; Bacillati; Bacillota; Bacilli; Caryophanales; Thermoactinomycetaceae
Description: Bacterial small subunit ribosomal RNA
Rfam family: Bacterial small subunit ribosomal RNA
Source: Rfam by way of RNAcentral
UUUUUUGAGAGUUUGAUCCUGGCUCAGGAUGAACGCUGGCGGCGUGCCUAAUACAUGCAAGUCGAGCGGGGAGUUUUCCUUCGGGAAAACUCCUAGCGGCGAACGGGUGAGUAACACGUGGGCAACUUGCCCCUAAGACUGGGAUAACUCCGGGAAACCGGGGCUAAUACCAGAUAAUCUUUUCGCUCGCAUGAGCGAAUCGUAAAAGGUUUCGACCACUUAGGGAUGGGCCCGCGGCGCAUUAGCUUGUUGGUGA